This 847-nucleotide ribosomal RNA is filed under the name uncultured eukaryote. RNAcentral's name for it is "bacterial SSU rRNA". It matches the Rfam family "Eukaryotic small subunit ribosomal RNA", at positions 556 to 1435 of the family's 1831-position model. The record is from RNAcentral.
GCAGUCUGGUGCCAGCAGCCGCGGUAAUUCCAGCUCCAAUAGCGUAUAUUAAAGUUGUUGCAGUUAAAAAGCUCGUAGUUGAAUUUCUGGCGCGGGCCGCGUGGUCCGCCUUCGGGUGCGCUGCGCGUACUCUGGGGCCAUCCUCGUGAGGAAGCGCGUCGGCCUUCAUUUGUCGUGCGUUCGGGACCCACGUCCUUUACUGUGAAAAAAUUAGAGUGUUUAAAGCAGGCUUCAAGCUUGAAUACAUUAGCAUGGAAUAAUGAAAUAGGACUUCGGUGCUAUUUUGUUGGUUGCUAGGACCGAGGUAAUGAUUAAUAGGGACAGUUGGGGGUAUUCAUAUUUAACUGUCAGAGGUGAAAUUCUUGGAUUUGUGAAAGAGGAACUACUGCGAAAGCAUUUGCCAAGGAUGUUUUCAUUAAUCAAGAACGAAAGUCAGGGGAUCGAAGAGGAUUAGAUACCCUCGUAGUCUUGACCAUAAACGAUGCCGACUCGGGAUCGGCGGACGUUGUAACCAGACUCCGUGGGCACCUUGUGAUAAAUCAAAGUUUUUGGGUUCCGGGGGGAGUAUGGUCGCAAGGCUGAAACUUAAAGGAAUUGACGGAAGGGCACCACCAGGAGUGGAGCCUGCGGCUUAAUUUGACUCAACACGGGGAAACUUACCAGGUCCAGACAUGGUAAGGAUUGACAGAUUGAGAGCUCUUUCUUGAUUCUAUGGGUGGUGGUGCAUGGCCGUUCUUAGUUGGUGGAGGGAUUGUCUGGUUAAUUCCAUUACGAACGAGACCUCGCCUGCUAAUAGCUCUGUCUGGGCGCGAUCGCGGGGACUUCUAAAGGACAAUGGACGUUAGUC